AUUGCCUGCCCAGUGACUAUAGUUAAACGGCCGCGGUAUCCUGACCGUGCAAAGGUAGCAUAAUCAUUUGUUCCUUAAUUAGGGACUAGAAUGAACGGCUAGACGAGGGUUCAACUGUCUCUUAUUUUUAAUCAGUGAAAUUGACCCUCCAGUAAGAGGCUGGAAUAUAAUAAUAAGACGAGAAGACCCUAUGGAGCUUAAAUUAAAAAGCUUAAUUACUGUUUCACUACCCUAAAUGGCAUAAGAUAAAAAAUUAUAAGCUUAAAAUUUUGGUUGGGGUGACCUCGGAGAAUAAAAAAUCCUCCGAACGAUAAAUAACCUAGACUCACAAGCCAAAGUAGCCUAACUAUCUAAUUGACCCAAAAAUUGAUCAACGGACCAAGUUACCCUAGGGAUAACAGCGCAAUCCUAUUUAAGAGUUCAUAUCGACAAUAGGGUUUACGACCUCGAUGUUGGAUCAGGACAUCCCAAUGGUGCAGAAGCUAUUAAUGGUUCGUUUG
RNAcentral lists this ribosomal RNA (500 nucleotides) under Hylomyscus kaimosae. Its description in RNAcentral is "partial 16S ribosomal RNA". It matches the Rfam family "Bacterial large subunit ribosomal RNA", at positions 1854 to 2579 of the family's 2925-position model. The record is from RNAcentral. Lineage: Eukaryota; Metazoa; Chordata; Mammalia; Rodentia; Muridae.